This 146-nucleotide ribosomal RNA is filed under the name uncultured bacterium. RNAcentral describes it as "partial 16S ribosomal RNA". It matches the Rfam family "Bacterial small subunit ribosomal RNA", at positions 346 to 509 of the family's 1533-position model. The record is from RNAcentral.
AGGCAGCAGUAGGGAAUCUUUCACAAUGGGCGAAAGCCUGAUGGAGCAACGCCGCGUGCAGGAUGAAGGCCUUCGGGUUGUAAACUGCUUUUAUAAGCGAGAAAUAUGAUGGUAACUUAUGAAUAAGGAUCGGCUAACUACGUGCC